This 598-nucleotide long non-coding RNA is filed under the name Olea europaea subsp. europaea. Lineage: Eukaryota; Viridiplantae; Streptophyta; Magnoliopsida; Lamiales; Oleaceae. The record is from RNAcentral.
GUUGUACAAAUAGUUUUAGAUAACAGAGUUUCUUUCAAUUGAAAUUGCAAUAAGGUAAGUUCGUAAAUUCAAGUACUCCAUCUUCAAGUUGUUUGACAGUAUAAAAUCUUUAAUGAUAUUAUAAACAGUUGUUCUAGGUAUGAAGCCUAGGCGUCAAAUUCGUGGGUUGGGAGAUGGUCGCCUUUGAGACACAGGGGUAUCAUCUUCUAUUGUACUGAGUUUGGAUAAGGAGUUAGAAGCAGAACGUGCUGCUCGAAAGGCUCGAGUGAAGAUGGAGCAAAAGAUGCAGAAAAAGCUGAAGUUUGUUGAGCAACAAUUUAAUUUUACAUUGCAGUCUUGGCAUCAUUCUAUACACCAGCUAUGUGGUAAAGCUCCUGCUUCAGUGUACCAUCAUUUACACCAUUGUCAAUACAGAAUAAUGCUAAUAAGGAAGAUGAUGCAAUUGAGUACGAAGGGAAUAACUUUGUCAAAAACCAGCUACAUAUCUAAUUUAUGAGGAUGAAGAGUUAUAUUUUAAGGUGCAUAAUAAUAGAUGCAGAGCAUAUUGGUCUUAAAUGUAGACGUAACCAUAUUUGGUGAAUGGUUUUUAUCUUUAUUU